GGAAACUAUAGAUUAUGCAAUAAGAGACUUUUUUGAGCCCUUACUAUGCACAAGGUGUUGUGCCAGACUGAGCUAUUUUUGCUUUAUGGUAUUUUUUAAAAAAUCAAGGCACCUUCCAGAUUUCAACGAGGAUGCUGGCCAAAGGGCUCAAUUAUUACCGCUCAAAGGCAGUAACAGAACACACAGGUAAACAAAGGGCAACUGCCAUGACAAAUAUUAACGAUGCCAAAGUCAGCAUUUUCGCAAGGGUCGAAGCAAUAAAUCCUGCGGAGUCCAAGGUGGAUGGCACAGUGCUCCCUGCUGCACCGCUCGGGGGCUGGGAGACCAGAGCAGAAGUAAGUACCUUUGUCUCCCGACCAUGACCAACGCGUUGCUUAAAAACGCGAGGGGCGGCUGCGGGCUGGCUUCCCAGCAAAGCGAUGCAGCGCCCUCGGGAGAGCGGCGCUAGCCGGGUCGGCCGGCGCCGCGCUCCCCGCCUCCCCUCGGUGCAGAACACAGGUGUCCCACGUGGCUCCCGCCCGGGUGCGCCUCCCCGGGCUUGCAGCGCCCCCUGGCCCGAGCCGGGUCCCGCCGCGCGCUCCUCGCCGUGAGUUCAGCCGGCGUGGUCUCCGCGUCGCUGGAACCCCCUUCCUUCCCGGCGCUCGCACCGGAGGAGACGCCCCGCCCCCGGGCGCCCCUGCCCAGCGUGCAGAGACGGGGCGUCCGGCUUGGAUGCGGCGUCGGCGCGGCGGGUUUGGUUCGGCAUUGUCUGCGCUCCACCCGAGCACGCCGGCGGGGCCCGCACGCUUCUUCGGGAAGUCGGCGUCCCGGGCAGAAAGCACCUGGCGCGCCCCUCCUCGGGGUACCCCUCCUUCGGUCCCGGGGCGAGCCUGCGGGGGUCUUGGGAGCCACCGCGCUGCGGCCCCGGCAGCAGCCCCUCCGGUGGGUCCCCUGGGAACGCCAAGCAGAGCGGCUCGGACCGCAGAUGAGGAGACGGAGACCUAGGAAGGGUGGAAGACUGCCCGAGGGAGAACGGGACUGCCUGCCGGGAACCCUGGCUCCUGGUUCUGUGAUGAGCACAGUCAUUAACUGUUUUCCUGAUCUCCACUUGGGCACCUCUGCCCUUACCCAGAGGACUUCGGCACUGUUGGCUCCUGGGAUCCUGGCAAUAACCUUUCCAGGUAAAUAGGGUGCGUAAUGUCACCCCCAUUUUUGAAAGGAGAAAAUCGAGUGACUGAAAGAAUGGACUUGGGAGAUUGGUGCUCAGGUCUCCUGACGUCAGAUUGGUGCCCUUUGCACACCAACUGUGUGCUGCACGCUGCUUGUCACGUCUGGGCUGCCUGCAUCCGAAAAACUGGGCCUGACGCCAAACUUGUGAUUUACCAGCUCUUUGACCUUGGGCCCCAACUUCUCCAAGACCAUUUUCACAAGUGUGAAAGUGGAAUUGAUCAUGUCUACCCUAUAGGGCAUAUGAAUGUAGUUAUAUGACGUUAAUAUGUGAAAUGCAGUGAUAAUCUUUUAACGUCAUAGGUUCAAAAAGUCUUUUACCAUUAUGGGGGACAUUCAUACUGUUUCACUGGAUCUUUAAAACACUGUCAGUUAUGAAACAGAUGAAUGAGGUGGGAACUUGGUGUUUGCAGAGUUACCCACCUGGUUAGAAGCAGAGCUAGUUUGGAAUUCCAUCUUUGGAGUUCCAGUCCUGUGGAUGCACUUUCCAGAAUCCUAUGACAGUGGAUUUGGUGGCUCAGGUGGUAAAGAAUCUGCCUGCAAUUCAGGAGACCCAUUCGAUCCCUGGGUCAGGACGAUUCCCUGAAGAAAGGAAUGGCUGCCCACUCCAGUAUUCUUGUCUGGAGAAUUCCAUGGACAGAGAGCCUGGCAGGCUACAGUCUGUGGGAUCUCAAAGAGUUGGGCAUAACUGAGUGACUAAUACACAUACUGACAGUUUCAAUAAAGGAUUUUCAAAUACGAUCAUAACAAGCAUCAGAAUCUCUUGUCAGGUACAGGGUGUGGGCAGCCUGUGGUUUACACCCAAUCUGCCUCUUCUCCCUAGCCAUCCAGGGGCCCAAAGGGCACAGUUUGUCCCUUGAGGCUGAUUUCUGGUUGCCAGACUGUUGGGUUCUGAAAAUUCGUGAUUUUGUUAGAGAAAGCAUAGCGUGCCCCAGAACAACUUGUAAAAUGCCCUUCAUGCCUUAUCGGACUAGAAACGUGUCAACCACUUCCCCUGAUUGCCUGGGUCUGAGCCAAGCAUUUUGCCAAGUGAACAAGGAAGAUGUUUGUUACAGUGAAAGACCACAGGCUUCCUGGCUGACUUACCUCCAAUGUGAAAGUCUUUCUCUUCUGGUGUGGACUGUUUUUGUAAAAGGAUUCAGAUUUCCAUUCUACUGAUGGAGAGGAGGCUGCCAAGGGCUAAUCUAAUAUUUGGGGUUGGAAUUGCAUUUUGUAAGGAGGUGGAAGCGCUCUCCUUUUUCACCCUGCCCUCGUUUCAUUUCCGAUCAUAGAGGAGAAGGUGGGCAUUGUCCUGCAAAACCGCCUUUAGCUAUUGCUGUUCGGUCUGGCCCUUCUUUUUCAAAAGUAGCCUUGUUUGGCCUUUGCUUUCUUCCUGUCUCUUGGGAAAUGCAAUCUCCAGGCAGCACAGAGUGUUAUGUUUUGUGGUGCCCUGCAGCAAACCUCACACAUCAGAAUUUGAAAAUAACAAUCAGAUGAAAAGGCUAGGGAGUCGGGGAGGGAUCCAGGUCCAUGUGUGAGAACCCCAGAAGCCGGGAAUGACGAUGUGUGGGAUUAGCAUGAGUAAUGGAAUAGAAAGGAGCAAAUGUGAUGAGCCAGGUGUUUCGUAAUGGAAGAGGCUUGACAAGGUAUACCUGGAGAUGGAAGUUCUGUUUCUGCCCCUGGGUUGCAGACCACUCCCAUCUGCCUAGCACAAGACUGCAGAAAGUUCUCUAAAUCUUCUCAAGUUAUGUGCUUGGGUGUGGGAGUUGCUGGCAGCUGAUGGAAGACUGCCAACAGGUGAGAUUCAGGGUGGCAGAUUUUUAAUUAGGCUCUGUUCCUCUGUCCUGAUCCCCCACAAACAGGAAGGUGACAGAUGGAACAGAACACAGGGAGGCCAGAAGGAGUAGGAUCCACUUAUUAACUGUCUCACCUGGGGCAGAACUGUCUCACCUGUCUCACCUUGGCUUCUCUCUGUCUCAGCUUUCCCAUCUGUCAAAUGGGGGCUUGCUGUGAGCAUUAGGAGAGAGAAGAUACGUAAGUAUAGAGUCUGGUGUGUGUUAAUCUCUGUCAUGUCCAACUCUUUGUGACCCCAUGGAUUGUAGCCCACUAAGUUCCUCUGUCCAUGGAAUUCUCUAGACAAGAAUACUGGAAUAGUUAGCCAUUCCCUUCUCCAGGGGAUUGUCCCGAACCAGGGAUUGAACACGGGUUUCCUGCAUUGCAGGCAGAUUCUUUACUGUCUGAGUCACCAGGGAAGCCCACGGAGCCUGGUACUGGGUGCUUUAGUGAGUAAAUUAUGCUCACUAGAUGGGAGCAGCUGGUUUUUUUUGUUUGUUUGUUUGUUUUUUACUGUGGAAUUCAUCCUUUCAAGUCUUAGAUGUAGGGUUGUAUUUAGAAUGUUGAAUUAGUGUUGAAAGAAAGUUUUGCUGUGUGAGGAAGGGGGAUUGAGCUGAAUAUUUGAAAUGAUUGGGUGGGACUAGAUAGUGUAGAGUACUAUUAAUUCUGUAUCAUCAUUGAAACAACGUUAGGUUCAUUUAUCUUGGUAUAAAAAAGGAUACUGUGAGUGCAGUGAGCACAGGAAGAAUACUUCAUCAGGAAGUAUCCCUCCAGCCCACCUGCCUGAAGCGUUAUGAUGCUGAUUUCCAGCAAGCACGUGUCUCACCUACUACAUGCCAGGCAUAUUCAGAGACUGAGACACAGCCCCUAGUCCCUGAGCCAUUUGCCACGCGGCAGGCAGGUUCAGUGUGGGCUGUGUGACAGUGGGGAUUGCGGUGGAGGUGGGGGCAUGGGGGUCGGUGAGGGGAGGUGCUGCUGAGGUCUCAGGGUCAGCACCGCCUGAGCCUGGCGCUCACAAGGAGGCACUUGAUUUCCAGAUUGCCACCCUCAAUUCUGUUUUAAUGAGCAGAACCUUAAGAGGCUCUGGAAAAACAUUCACCUGGGCAAGCAGAGGCACAUGGUGGAGCCAGAUGGAUCUGCCUGGGUUUGUCCCCUAGUACAGGGAGGGGCCCCGUGUUCACAAACACCUGCUCUGCAGCAGGAAACUUCUGUGCUCCCUUUUGCCUUGUCCUCACGGGAGGCUGCUAGAAUCCUAGUUUUGUAAAAAAAAAAAAAAAAAAUUAAUAGGCCUGAGCCUCAGAGUCCUGCGUGUGCCCAAGGUCAGAAGCUGUGAUCCCAGAAAAUCUUGAGCCUCAGGACUGGAUGGCACAGGGAUGCCCUUUCCUUCUCCUCCAAGCUGGCCCUUGUCCCCAGGCCUCGCCCCUGCCUGGCUCCCAGGUGGAAGGUAUGGACUUGUCCCAUGGCUGUUGUGUGGAGUAAGAGGAAAGAGAACAGGAGGCGUGGCCCCCACCGGCCAGCAUUUUCUCCAGCCCCCUCUCUCCCUCUGACCAUGCCUGGGAAACUCCUGCCCUCCUCCCUCCUGUAAUACCUUGUCUCUGGUCCUUACUUAGACGAAGUGAGGCUGGGAAGCCUCUCAGUUACUUGAAGCACAGAGAUGCUCAGCUGGGUAGGUGAUUCCAUUUAGUUUGCUUCGGGAAAGUUUUGAAAUCCAGAGAGCUGAAUAAACAGUGGAGUAAGGUCUGACCAUUAUAGGUCCAUGGUGGAGAGGAGAUCAAAAGGGGAUUUUCUUUUUUUUUUUUUAACCAGAAGACAUCUUAGCAGCCUCUGGUCCACCCUCCUCGUUUUCAGGUGAGGAACUGUGGCUGCUCUCAGGGUCGCACAGUGUCAGAUGAGAAGUGGGACCCCUGGAUCCAGGGUGCACACCCUCUGUCAUCGUGGGGCAGAGGUAGCUCCCGAGUCACGAUGUGCCAGCUCAGUGGGCAUGGAGUUCAGGGGGAUGGCCCAUGGACCUUGAGCUGACCUCGGCUCUAGGAGUUGCAUGGUUAGAAGAAAGCCCAUUGGACAGGGACCCGGAGACUCAGGACUCCUCCCCUUCUGAGCCUCAGGGACGCCUUCCCAUUCACUUCUGGGGUGUGUAUGCUUAUUCACUGUGUGUCCUCCUUAGUCUGAUACCACAACGUGCCCCCUGAGGGUAGGAGUGCAGGCCCAGGGCAUGGGGGGCGUGGUCAGCACUGUCCAAGAAAGCACCAGCCUCCCCACCGCCCCCCCUCCCGCCCCAGUUAUUCAUAUUUCCUUCAGUUCCAGUGAGGUCUUCAUGCACACGAG
This 5343-nucleotide long non-coding RNA is filed under the name Bos grunniens (domestic yak). RNAcentral describes it as "lncRNA (ENSBGRG00000025232.1)". Lineage: Eukaryota; Metazoa; Chordata; Mammalia; Artiodactyla; Bovidae. The record is from RNAcentral.